GGCGCAUAAGUAACAGGUCGUAGACCCGAAACCAGGUGAUCUACCCAUGUCCAGGAUGAAGGUAAGGUAAUACUUACUGGAGGUCCGAACCCACGCACGUUGAAAAGUGCGGGGAUGAGGUGUGGGUAGCGGAGAAAUUCCAAUCGAACUUGGAGAUAGCUGGUUCUCUCCGAAAUAGCUUUAGGGCUAGCCUCGAGGUAAAGAGUCAUGGAGGUAGAGCACUGUUUGGACUAGGGGCCCUUCUCGGGUUACCGAAUUCAGAUAAACUCCGAAUGCCAUGUACUUAUACUCGGGAGUCAGACUGCGAGUGAUAAGAUCCGUAGUCGAAAGGGAAACAGCCCAGACCACCAGUUAAGGUCCCCAAAUAUAUGUUAAGUGGAAAAGGAUGUGGGGUUGCUUAGACAACCAGGAUGUUGGCUUAGAAGCAGCCACCAUUGAAAGAGUGCGUAAUAGCUCACUGGUCGAGUGACCCCGCGCCGAAAAUGUACCGGGGCUAAACAUAUUACCGAAACUGUGGAUGAACCUCUUUAGAGGUUCGUGGUAGGAGAGCGUUCUAAGGGCGGUGAAGUCAGACCGGAAGGACUGGUGGAGCGCUUAGAAGUGAGAAUGCCGGUAUGAGUAGCGAAAGAAGGGUGAGAAUCCCUUCCACCGAAUAUCUAAGGUUUCCUGAGGAAGGCUCGUCCGCUCAGGGUUAGUCGGGACCUAAGCCGAGGCCGAUAGGCGUAGGCGAUGGACAACAGGUAGAGAUUCCUGUACCAGUGCUAAUUGUUUAACCGAUGGGGUGACACAGAAGGAUAGGGAAUCGCACGAAUGGAAAUGUGCGUCCAAGCAGUGAGUGUGAGAAGUAGGCAAAUCCGCUUCUCGCGAAGCAUGAGCUGUGAUGGGGAAGGAAAUUAAGUACGGAAGUUCCUGAUUUCACGCUGUCAAGAAAAGCCUCUAGGAAGAGUAGUACUGCCCGUACCGCAAACCGACACAGGUAGAUGAGGAGAGAAUCCUAAGGUGAGCGAGAGAACUCUCGUUAAGGAACUCGGCAAAAUGACCCCGUAACUUCGGGAGAAGGGGUGCUCUAUUAGGGUGCAAGCCCGAGAGAGCCGCAGUGAAUAGGCCCAGGCGACUGUUUAGCAAAAACACAGGUCUCUGCAAAACCGUAAGGUGACGUAUAGGGGCUGACGCCUGCCCGGUGCUGGAAGGUUAAGAGGAGUGCUUAGCUUCGGCGAAGGUACGAAUUGAAGCCCCAGUAAACGGCGGCCGUAACUAUAACGGUCCUAAGGUAGCGAAAUUCCUUGUCGGGUAAGUUCCGACCCGCACGAAAGGCGCAACGAUCUGGGCACUGUCUCAACGAGAGACUCGGUGAAAUUAUAGUACCUGUGAAGAUGCAGGUUACCCGCGACAGGACGGAAAGACCCCGUGGAGCUUUACUGCAACCUGAUAUGGAAUGUUUGUACCGCUUGUACAGGAUAGGUAGGAGCCGAAGAGACGUGUGCGCUAGCAUACGAGGAGGCAAUGGUGGGAUACUACCCUGGCUGUAUGACCAUUCUAACCCGCCACGCUUAGCGCGUGGGGAGACAGUGUCAGGUGGGCAGUUUGACUGGGGCGGUCGCCUCCUAAAGAGUAACGGAGGCGCCCAAAGGUUCCCUCAGAAUGGAUGGAAAUCAUUCGCAGAGUGUAAAGGCACAAGGGAGCUUGACUGCGAGACUGACAAGUCGAGCAGGGACGAAAGUCGGGCUUAGUGAUCCGGUGGUUCCGCAUGGAAGGGCCAUCGCUCAACGGAUAAAAGCUACCCCGGGGAUAACAGGCUUAUCUCCCCCAAGAGUCCACAUCGACGGGGAGGUUUGGCACCUCGAUGUCGGCUCGUCGCAUCCUGGGGCUGUAGUCGGUCCCAAGGGUUGGGCUGUUCGCCCAUUAAAGCGGCACGCGAGCUGGGUUCAGAACGUCGUGAGACAGUUCGGUCCCUAUCCGUCGCGGGCGCAGGAAAUUUGAGAGGAGCUGUCCUUAGUACGAGAGGACCGGGAUGGACACACCGCUGGUGUACCAGUUGUUCCGCCAGGAGCAUCGCUGGGUAGCUAUGUGUGGCAGGGAUAAACGCUGAAAGCAUCUAAGC
RNAcentral lists this ribosomal RNA (2101 nucleotides) under Listeria monocytogenes. RNAcentral describes it as "partial 23S ribosomal RNA". It matches the Rfam family "Bacterial large subunit ribosomal RNA", at positions 691 to 2786 of the family's 2925-position model. Lineage: Bacteria; Bacillati; Bacillota; Bacilli; Caryophanales; Listeriaceae. The record is from RNAcentral.